RNAcentral lists this microRNA precursor (79 nucleotides) under Ovis aries (sheep). Its description in RNAcentral is "miRNA (ENSOARG00000023179.1)". Lineage: Eukaryota; Metazoa; Chordata; Mammalia; Artiodactyla; Bovidae. The record is from RNAcentral.
UUGGAUUAGCCAGAAAGUUCAUUCAGGUUUUUCCAUAAGCUCUCAUGGAAAAACCUGAAUGAACUUUUUGGCCAAGUCA